UAACGGAAAUGGUAAUCUAAUGUUUCCUUCUUUCAUAUCAAUAAUUGCAUCAAUCAUUCUAUAGCAAGAUCUAUCAAGAAUAAUAGGGCAUGAAGGAUUAUUACAAUCUAUAUCAAGCACAAUAAAAUCUACAGGCACAUAAUUCCUAUUUGCAACAAUAAGAACAUCAUUAAUCCUUUCCAUGGGUUUCCUAAUAGUAGAAUCCGCUAAGUGCAAAUUCAAAGAACAAUCAUCAAGUUUAUGGAAACCUAGCACAUCACAUAAAGAUUUUGGAAUCUAUCAUUCUUAAGUUGCUCCCCACUACUUCCUAUUCUCUCACCAUGCACACUGUCCACAUCAGCAACUAUGCCAUCUCAGCAAAAACUGGUCCCACGAGGCCAUGUCAUCACUUUCCUGGCCUUCCCAUGCACCAGCAGCUAGCGUAUGUUCCCUGCCACAGAUGCAGCCGUAAAUGAACUUGAAACCCACGUACAAAAUAUCGUUGCAUCUCCCAACUUUUCUCCCGAAGCGUUAGCCCUGUUCGGCCCCUUGGUCUUUCGCCUCUUCCUCCACCUUCCACCCAUGGUUCCCUUCAUCUCCCCCCAAUCAAUAAAUCUCUACUGCAGUCCUUCUAGUUCUUCCCUUCUUCCCUCUAUUUAUGGAUCCCUCCAUCUUGCUUUUGUUGCCGACCUAAACCGCAAGAUGCAGCAUGGUCGCCGGCAUGGAUAAGCUUGGCCCAAGCGUAGACCUCGCCCUUUACCCAACCUCCAUGAACCAUGCGUGCCACCCCUGGCGUCCUCCCCAGCAUCACAUGUGCACCAGAGAUGAGAAGGGCGAGAGCGACGGCUGCAAGAUUUACUUUCGCGGUGCUGAAGGAGAUCCAGAUCCCAAUCCAAGUAGUGCCUUAGUCGCCCAAGGUACGAGCAGGAAGAUGAGGUCGCCUCAUUGUUUCUUUGUCUAGAUCUCCACGUCCGUGUAGUUUUCCUGGAGGCCUGGAUAUUGCGUGAUGUGCAGGACAAUUAGUGAUGCAUAUGUGCUUUGCGUUCCUGGUGUGUGUGUAUAACUGCAUAUGCACAUUAUUUUUUUCAUUAUUUUGCGAUUUCUUUUCGAGACUUUAGUGAUUGGUUUGUGGCCUAAGCUUAUGUACAUAUUCUAAAGUGUAUGGAUGUGUUGCUGCCAGAUGUCUCUAUAUUUUGUGCUUUCGCUUU
This is a long non-coding RNA of Aegilops tauschii subsp. strangulata, 1187 nucleotides long. RefSeq lists it as uncharacterized. Lineage: Eukaryota; Viridiplantae; Streptophyta; Magnoliopsida; Poales; Poaceae. The record is from RefSeq and is a predicted model, not a curated record.